CACUCAAACGUACCCCAAAAACUCAUUAGCCAAUGGGGACGCAGCCCUGUUAGACCCGCCCAUGCGAGAGCUUUGUGCCAGAAUUGCAAACAAAGAGUUUUGGAAGCACAAACGAGAAAGCUGGGAACGCAACUGCAAAUGUGAUGAAGAGAGCAAAAGACUGAUCAUUGAGAAAGAUCAGACAGAAGUGUAAACAAAAAGACAUAUUAUCAAACGAAUAAAAUACCAAUAGUUUACGACUACACAAAUGUUUUGUAGUGAUGUUUGUUUGAUACUUGAAAAGUUUUGCUUGGAAUUAAAGGCA
This is a long non-coding RNA of Etheostoma spectabile (orangethroat darter), 304 nucleotides long. RefSeq lists it as uncharacterized. Lineage: Eukaryota; Metazoa; Chordata; Actinopteri; Perciformes; Percidae. The transcript has 2 exons. The record is from RefSeq and is a predicted model, not a curated record.